AGAGUUUGAUCCUGGCUCAGGACGAACGCUGGCGGCACGCUUAACACAUGCAAGUCGAACGAGAGAAGAGGAGCUUGCUUUUCUGAUCUAGUGGCGGACGGGUGAGUAACACGUGAGCAAUCUGCCUUUCAGAGGGGGAUACCGAUUGGAAACGAUCGUUAAUACCGCAUAACAUAAUUGAACCGCAUGAUUUGAUUAUCAAAGAUUUAUCGCUGAAAGAUGAGCUCGCGUCUGAUUAGCUGUUGGUAAGGUAACGGCUUACCAAGGCGACGAUCAGUAGCCGGACUGAGAGGUUGAUCGGCCACAUUGGGACUGAGACACGGCCCAGACUCCUACGGGAGGCAGCAGUGGGGAAUAUUGCACAAUGGAGGAAACUCUGAUGCAGCGAUGCCGCGUGAGGGAAGAAGGUUUUAGGAUUGUAAACCUCUGUCUUCAGGGACGAAAAAAGACGGUACCUGAGGAGGAAGCUCCGGCUAACUACGUGCCAGCAGCCGCGGUAAUACGUAGGGAGCGAGCGUUGUCCGGAAUUACUGGGUGUAAAGGGAGCGUAGGCGGGAUCGCAAGUCAGAUGUGAAAACUAUGGGCUUAACCCAUAAACUGCAUUUGAAACUGUGGUUCUUGAGUGAAGUAGAGGUAAGCGGAAUUCCUAGUGUAGCGGUGAAAUGCGUAGAUAUUAGGAGGAACAUCAGUGGCGAAGGCGGCUUACUGGGCUUUAACUGACGCUGAGGCUCGAAAGCGUGGGGAGCAAACAGGAUUAGAUACCCUGGUAGUCCACGCCGUAAACGAUGAUUACUAGGUGUGGGGGGACUGACCCCUUCCGUGCCGCAGCAAACGCAAUAAGUAAUCCACCUGGGGAGUACGACCGCAAGGUUGAAACUCAAAGGAAUUGACGGGGGCCCGCACAAGCAGUGGAGUAUGUGGAUUAAUUCGAAGCAACGCGAAGAACCUUACCAGGUCUUGACAUCGUAUGCAUAGCUCAGAGAUGAGUGAAAUCUCUUCGGAGACAUAUAGACAGGUGGUGCAUGGUUGUCGUCAGCUCGUGUCGUGAGAUGUUGGGUUAAGUCCCGCAACGAGCGCAACCCUUACUGUUAGUUGCUACGCAAGAGCACUCUAGCAGGACUGCCGUUGACAAAACGGAGGAAGGUGGGGAUGACGUCAAAUCAUCAUGCCCCUUAUGACCUGGGCCUCACACGUACUACAAUGGCUGUCAACAGAGGGAAGCAAAGCCGCGAGGUGGAGCGAACCCCUAAAAGCAGUCUUAGUUCGGAUUGUAGGCUGCAACCCGCCUACAUGAAGUCGGAAUCGCUAGUAAUCGCAGAUCAGCAUGCUGCGGUGAAUACGUUCCCGGGCCUUGUACACACCGCCCGUCACGCCAUGGGAGUCGGUAACACCCGAAGCCUGUAGUCUAACCGCAAGGAGGACGCAGUCGAAGGUGGGAUUGAUGACUGGGGUGAAGUCGUAACAAGGUA
Molecule: ribosomal RNA, 1469 nt
Filed under: metagenome
Description: bacterial SSU rRNA
Rfam family: Bacterial small subunit ribosomal RNA
Source: RNAcentral